AGAGCGAACGCUGGCGGCAGGCCUAACACAUGCAAGUCGAGCGCCCGUAGCAAUACGGGAGCGGCAGACGGGAGAGUAACACGUGGGAACGUACCCUUCAGUUCGGAAUAACCCAGGGAAACUUGGACUAAUACCGAAUACGUCCGUAAGGAGAAAGAUUUAUCGCUGAAGGAUCGGCCCGCGUCUGAUUAGCUUGUUGGUGAGGUAACGGCUCACCAAGGCGACGAUCAGUAGCUGGUCUGAGAGGAUGAUCAGCCUCACUGGGACUGAGACACGGCCCAGACUCCUACGGGAGGCAGCAGUGGGGAAUAUUGGACAAUGGGCGCAAGCCUGAUCCAGCCAUGCCGCGUGGAUGAUGAAGGCCCUAGGGUUGUAAAGUCCUUUCGACGGGGAAGAUAAUGACGGUACCCGUAGAAGAAGCCCGGCUAACUUCGUGCCAGCAGCCGC
RNAcentral lists this ribosomal RNA (447 nucleotides) under uncultured bacterium. Its description in RNAcentral is "SSU rRNA". It matches the Rfam family "Bacterial small subunit ribosomal RNA", at positions 26 to 518 of the family's 1533-position model. The record is from RNAcentral.